GGGGUCGACCGGAAUUGACAGGAUGGAGACGGUUAUGUAAGCAUGCAGUGCGUUGUUAGUCUAGCACUAUAAUCUGAACUUUCAACCUUAUAAAUGGCGAAAAUAACUACGCCUUAGCUGCCUAAUUUAGAAUUAGCAUAGCUUUUGUUCCGUUGCAGUCUGCUUCGUGCUGUAACAUCAGGAGCAUCGAUCAACGAAGCUAGCUGACUUAGCGGCACGAUGAGUUGGCGAAAUUAAGUGCCUACGGAAACUGGUAUAGGUAAGCGACCGACCUUCCACUUCCCGACAAUUAAACGGAAGCUAAGCAUGUAGAAAGCAUAUACAGUACCAUGUUUGGACGAGGGUUCGAAUCCCUCCGGCUCCACAA
Non-coding RNA from Sphingobacterium sp. 21, 367 nucleotides. The record is from Rfam. Lineage: Bacteria; Pseudomonadati; Bacteroidota; Sphingobacteriia; Sphingobacteriales; Sphingobacteriaceae.